ACGGGAGGCAGCAGUGGGGAAUCUUAGACAAUGGGCGCAAGNNNGAUCUAGCCAUGCCGCGUGUGUGAUGAAGGUCUUAGGAUCGUAAAGCACUUUCGCCAGGGAUGAUAAUGACAGUACCUGGUAAAGAAACCCCGGCUAACUCCGUGCCAGCAGCCGCGGUAAUACGGAGGGGGUUAGCGUUGUUCGGAAUUACUGGGCGUAAAGCGUACGUAGGCGGAUUGGAAAGUUGGGGGUGAAAUCCCAGGGCUCAACCCUGGAACUGCCUCCAAAACUAUCAGUCUAGAGUUCGAGAGAGGUGAGUGGAAUUCCAAGUGUAGAGGUGAAAUUCGUAGAUAUUUGGAGGAACACCAGUGGCGAAGGCGGCUCACUGGCUCGAUACUGACGCUGAGGUACGAAAGUGUGGGGAGCAAACAGGAUUAGAUACCCUGGUAGUCCA
RNAcentral lists this ribosomal RNA (439 nucleotides) under uncultured Paracoccaceae bacterium. RNAcentral describes it as "bacterial SSU rRNA". It matches the Rfam family "Bacterial small subunit ribosomal RNA", at positions 341 to 797 of the family's 1533-position model. The record is from RNAcentral. Lineage: Bacteria; Pseudomonadati; Pseudomonadota; Alphaproteobacteria; Rhodobacterales; Paracoccaceae.